CUGGUUGAUCCUGCCAGUAGUCAUAUGCUUGCCUAAAAGAUUAAGCCAUGCAUGUCUAAGUAUAAACUGUUUUAUACAAGUGAAACUGCGAAUGGCUCAUUAAAUCAGUUAUAAUUUAUUUGAUAGUACCCUUUUACUACUUGGAUAACCGUGGUAAUUCUAGAGCUAAUACAUGCCUUGAAAGUCCUGACCUUUAUGGGAGGGAUGCAGUUAUUAGAUACAAAACCAACCCGGGCAACCGGUUUUUUGGUGAUUCAUGAUAACUUUGCGAAUCGCAUAGCCUUGUGCUGGCGAUGGGUCAUUCAAAUUUCUGCCCUAUCAACUUUCGACGGUAGGAUAGAGGCCUACCGUGGUGAUAACGGGUAACGGGGAAUUAGGGUUCGAUUCCGGAGAGGGAGCCUGAGAAACGGCUACCACAUCCAAGGAAGGCAGCAGGCGCGCAAAUUACCCAAUCCUGAUACAGGGAGGUAGUGACAAUAAAUAACGAUGCGGAACCUUUUUGGUUUUCGCAAUUGGAAUGAGUACAAUUUAAAUCCCUUAACGAGGAACAAUUGGAGGGCAAGUCUGGU
Molecule: ribosomal RNA, 569 nt
Filed under: uncultured eukaryote
Lineage: Eukaryota
Description: SSU rRNA
Rfam family: Eukaryotic small subunit ribosomal RNA
Source: RNAcentral